GCAGAGAUCGGAAAGCACACCAAUGGCGAAGCCAGCUCCACUGGGGCAACCCUGACGCUCAGAGACGAAAGCUAGGGGAGCGUACAGGAAUAGAGACCCUGGUAGUCCUAGCCCUUAACGAUGGAUGCUGGAUGUGGGGCCAUAGCGCUCCGUGUCCGAAGCGAACGCGUUAAGCAUCCCGCCUGGGGACUACGGCAGCAAGGUUAAAACUCAAACAGAAUUGACGGGACCCCGCACAAGCAGCGGAGCGUGUGGUUUAAUUCGAUGCUACACGAAGAACCUUACAUGGGUUUGACAUCUAGGUGGUAGUGAAGCGAAAGCGGAGCGACCCUUCGGGGAGCCUAGACAGGUGCUGCAUGGCUGUCGUCAGCUCGUGCCAGUGAGGUGUCGGUUUAAGUCCCGUAACGAGCGCAACCCUUGCCCUCUCGUUAUACGUGUCAUGAGGGUGACUGCCUGGCGGUAAGCCGGAGGAAGGUGGGGAUGACGUCAUAGUCAGCAUGGCCUUUAUAUCCAGGGCUACACACACGCUACUAUGGCCAGUACAAAGGGCAGCGAAGCAGCGAGGUGGAGCGAAUCCCAGCAAAGUUGCUCGUAGUUCGGAUUGCAGGCUGCAACCCGCGUGCAUGAAGCUGGAGUUGCUAGUAACCGAGCGUCAGCUAUAGUGCGGUGAAUACGGUUCCCGGGGUUUGUACACACCGCCCGUCACGUCAUGGGAGUCGAUAACGCCUGAAGCCGGUGGCAUAGCUCGGAAGAGAGGGCGCUGU
This 764-nucleotide ribosomal RNA is filed under the name uncultured organism. RNAcentral describes it as "bacterial SSU rRNA". It matches the Rfam family "Bacterial small subunit ribosomal RNA", at positions 690 to 1456 of the family's 1533-position model. The record is from RNAcentral.